This 427-nucleotide ribosomal RNA is filed under the name uncultured beta proteobacterium. Its description in RNAcentral is "bacterial SSU rRNA". It matches the Rfam family "Bacterial small subunit ribosomal RNA", at positions 355 to 774 of the family's 1533-position model. The record is from RNAcentral. Lineage: Bacteria; Pseudomonadati; Pseudomonadota; Betaproteobacteria.
UGGGGAAUUUUGGACAAUGGGCGAAAGCCUGAUCCAGCCAUGCCGCGUGAGUGAAGAAGGCCUUCGGGUUGUAAAGCUCUUUUAGUCGGAAAGAAAGAGUCGCAAUGAAUAAUUGUGAUUUAUGACGGUACCGACAGAAAAAGCACCGGCUAACUACGUGCCAGCAGCCGCGGUAAUACGUAGGGUGCGAGCGUUAAUCGGAAUUACUGGGCGUAAAGGGUGCGCAGGCGGUUUUGCAAGUCAGAUGUGAAAGCCCCGGGCUUAACCUGGGAAUUGCGUUUGGAACUACAAGGCUAGAGUGCAGCAGAGGGGAGUGGAAUUCCAUGUGUAGCAGUGAAAUGCGUAGAGAUGUGGAAGAACACCGAUGGCGAAGGCAGCUCCCUGGGUUGACACUGACGCUCAUGCACGAAAGCGUGGGGAGCAAACA